Molecule: ribosomal RNA, 250 nt
Filed under: uncultured prokaryote
Description: partial 16S ribosomal RNA
Rfam family: Bacterial small subunit ribosomal RNA
Source: RNAcentral
UACAGAGGGUGCAAGCGUUAAUCGGAUUUACUGGGCGUAAAGGGCGCGUAGGUGGUUGUGUAAGUGAGAUGUGAAAUCCCCGGGCUUAACCUGGGAACUGCGUCUUAUACUGCAUAGCUUGAGUACAUGAGAGGGUAGUGGAAUUUCCGGUGUAGCGGUGAAGUGCGUAGAUAUCGGAAGGAACACCAGUGGCGAAGGCGGCUACCUGGCAUGAUACUGACACUGAGGCGCGAGAGCGUGGGGAGCAAAC